Molecule: ribosomal RNA, 1146 nt
Filed under: uncultured halophilic eubacterium
Lineage: Bacteria
Description: bacterial SSU rRNA
Rfam family: Bacterial small subunit ribosomal RNA
Source: RNAcentral
UGGCUCAGAUUGAACGCUGGCGGCAGGCCUAACACAUGCAAGUCGAGCGGAAACGAUCCUAGCUUGCUAGGAGGCGUCGAGCGGCGGACGGGUGAGUAAUGCAUAGGAAUCUGCCCGGUAGUGGGGGAUAACUUGAGGAAACUCAAGCUAAUACCGCAUACGCCCUACGGGGGAAAGCAGGGGCUCUUCGGACCUUGCGCUAUCGGAUGAGCUUAUGUCGGAUUAGCUGGUUGGUGAGGUAACGGCUCACCAAGGCGACGAUCCGUAGCUGGUCUGAGAGGAUGAUCAGCCACAUCGGGACUGAGACACGGCCCGAACUCCUACGGGAGGCAGCAGUGGGGAAUAUUGGACAAUGGGGGCAACCCUGAUCCAGCCAUGCCGCGUGUGUGAAGAAGGCCCUCGGGUUGUAAAGCACUUUCAGCGAGGAAGAAUGCUUGUCGGUUAAUACCCGGCAAGGGAGACAUCACUCGCAGAAGAAGCACCGGCUAACUCCGUGCCAGCAGCCGCGGUAAUACGGAGGGUGCGAGCGUUAAUCGGAAUUACUGGGCGUAAAGCGUGCGUAGGCGGCUUGAUAAGCCGGUUGUGAAAGCCCCGGGCUCAACCUGGGAACGGCAUCCGGAACUGUUAGGCUAGAGUGCAGGAGAGGAAGGUAGAAUUCCCGGUGUAGCGGUGAAAUGCGUAGAGAUCGGGAGGAAUACCAGUGGCGAAGGCGGCCUUCUGGACUGACACUGACGCUGAGGUACGAAAGCGUGGGUAGCAAACAGGAUUAGAUACCCUGGUAGUCCACGCCGUAAACGAUGUCGACUAGCCGUUGGGGUCCUCGAGACCUUUGUGGCGCAGUUAACGCACUAAGUCGACCGCCUGGGGAGUACGGCCGCAAGGUUAAAACUCAAAUGAAUUGACGGGGGCCCGCACAAGCGGUGGAGCAUGUGGUUUAAUUCGAUGCAACGCGAAGAACCUUACCUACCCUUGACAUCGUGCGAACUUUCCAGAGAUGGAUUGGUGCCUUCGGGAGCGCACAGACAGGUGCUGCAUGGCUGUCGUCAGCUCGUGUUGUGAAAUGUUGGGUUAAGUCCCGUAACGAGCGCAACCCUUGUCCCUAUUUGCCAGCGAUUCGGUCGGGAACUCUAGGGAGACUGCCGGUGA